CCCAUCGUUCCCAGUGCUCCCAGUACCGCUCCCAGUGCCGGGCAGGCGGGGCCGCUUCGGAACCCCCCGGGCAGAGCGCGGCUGCUUUUGGGUGUCGGCACCGCCCGGGCCGGGCUGGGAGCGGAGCAGGAGCGGGAGGGAGAGGAGGGAGAGGGGAGGAGGAAAAGGAAAGGGAAGGAGAGGAUCGGGAGGAAAGGAGCAGGAGCAGGAGCAGGAAGAGGAGGGACGGAGGAGCAGCGGGAGGAGCAGCAGCACCAACCCCACGCGGUUCCCCCGCUCGGGCCGCGGCUGCCCCGGCUCCGCCGGCAUCGCCCCGGAACCGCCGGAUUUCCCGUCCCCAAACCUUGGCUGGAUGGAGGAGGAGGCUGCAAGGAGGAUGCCCCAGGACACCCAGGCAGACAAGGAGCUGAGGAUGGAGACCAGGGAGGACAAAUCCCCACGGCAGAACCUCGUGGAAGAGGCCAUUUUGAGCAGCUCCAGGGCACAGGAAUAUAAUGGGGAGGAAAAGCCCCAGACAUCCUGCGGGAGAAGUGGCUCCAAACCCAGCUCAGGGUGCUCUGAGGAGAAAAGACCCACCCUGAGCCAGGAGAGUGGACAGAGCUUCAGCCAGAGCUCAGAGCUGGUGGUCCAUGAGCAGCUUCAUGAUGGGGAGAAGCCCUACAAGUGCUUGGAGUGUGGGAAGAGCAUCAGGCAGAGCAGCACCCUGAUCCACACGGGGGAAUGGGCCUAUGAGUGUGGGGAGUGUGGGAAGGGCUUCAGCUACAGAUCCACCCUUUUGACCCACUGUGAGAGUCUGUCCGAAACUUCCCUCAUUUUUUGCCUCUCGAUCGUCAUGAAAGCCAAGACCACCGGGGAAAGGGAAAGAUUCUGUACUGAAAAUCCAGGUCUGUCCGGUCCACCAAGCCAGAUUAUUGCCUACGGGUGUGUUUGCUCAACUCAUGGAACACUGCACCCAAGAAGGGGCAGUGUACUCUCCUUCACCUGCAUCACCUAGCAACGCUAGUGCUGGAAUUUCUCCACCCUUCUGACUUGGCUGGACUUUCUCUCUGGAAUGACCUUCCCAGAGAUCACCACUAAAAGACCCUCCAUUCCCAGUACAUCAUCCACCGUGACAGAUGCACUGAGAUGGGAGAGGUUUCUCCCUCAAGGACUGAGACAUGCGACCCCUACAUGGAAAAGCUCCCCUCUUCUUCCCAAAAGGAUUGAGAGUAAAAUCCCCACCGUAGGGUGAGGAAAGGUGUGCGUGGGGACUGGAGCAAGUUUUGCAAGCGACCACUGGACUGAGAAGACAAUGGUUCCUGCCUACAACGUCUGCUGCUGACAACACCUGCUCCUGAUGGACUACUGAUGGACACCUUGUACCCUUUAUCAAUAGACUAUUUUGAAAUGGGUCCCCUUCCCCCAUUUCAAAAGGACUAUAAAAGAGGUUAGAGCUGACUGAUACCAUUGAGAUCUCCCCUGACGUGAAGACAACUGUUGCCAUGAUAUUUUAGUGAAAAAGCCUCUGCUAGGAUUUUUCCUGUCCUGAGGAGCUGAUGGUCUCAGGAAAGAAAUAUAAACAAUAACUAUCUGCUGCUGUGGAAUGCCACAGGUGCAUCUUCCAUUGGUCCAUGUGGAUUGUUUUAAAUCAGUGACCAAUCACAGCCACCUGUGCCAAGGCUGUGAGCAGUCACAGGAUUUUUGUUAUUCAUUCCUAUUCUAUCCUUGUCUUUGUAGCCUUCUGAUCUCUUCUCUCUGUUCUUUUAGUAUAGUUAUAAUGUAGUAUUUUAGUAUAAUAUAUAACAUAAUA
Long non-coding RNA from Passer domesticus (house sparrow), 1789 nucleotides. RefSeq lists it as uncharacterized. The transcript has 3 exons. Lineage: Eukaryota; Metazoa; Chordata; Aves; Passeriformes; Passeridae. The record is from RefSeq and is a predicted model, not a curated record.